RNAcentral lists this ribosomal RNA (440 nucleotides) under uncultured bacterium. Its description in RNAcentral is "partial 16S ribosomal RNA". It matches the Rfam family "Bacterial small subunit ribosomal RNA", at positions 338 to 795 of the family's 1533-position model. The record is from RNAcentral.
CCUACGUGUGGCAGCAGUGGGGGAUAUUGCACAAUGGGGGCAACCCUGAUGCAGCGACGCCGCGUGAGCGAUGGAGUACUUCGGUAUGUAAAGCUCUGUCAGCAGGGAAGAGAAUGACGGUACCUGACCAAGAAGCCCCGGCUAAAUACGUGCCAGCAGCCGCGGUAAUACGUAUGGGGCAAGCGUUAUCCGGAUUUACUGGGUGUAAAGGGAGCGUAGGCGGCAGGGCAAGCCUGAUGUGAAAGCCCGGGGCCCAACCCCGGGAGUGCAUUUGAAACUGCCAUGCUGGAGUGCCGGAGAGGUAAGCGGAAUUCCUAGUGUAGCGGUGAAAUGCGUAGAUAUUAGGAGGAACACCAGUGGCGGAGGCGGCUUACUGGACGGUAACUGACGCUGAGGCUCGAAAGCGUGGGGAGCAAACAGGAUUAGAUACCCUAGUAGUC